UACUUGUCUUACAGGCAUCCCCAAGC
RNAcentral lists this non-coding RNA (26 nucleotides) under Mus musculus (house mouse). The record is from RNAcentral. Lineage: Eukaryota; Metazoa; Chordata; Mammalia; Rodentia; Muridae.